AUUGAACGCUGGCGGCAUGCCUUACACAUGCAAGUCGAACGGCAGCGGGGACUUCGGUCCGCCGGCGAGUGGCGAACGGGUGAGUAACGUAUCGGAACGUACCUUUCAGUGGGGGAUAACGUAGCGAAAGUUACGCUAAUACCGCAUAUUCUGUGAGCAGGAAAGCAGGGGAUCGCAAGACCUUGCGCUGAUUGAGCGGCCGAUAUCAGAUUAGCUAGUUGGUGAGGUAAAGGCUCACCAAGGCGACGAUCUGUAGCGGGUCUGAGAGGAUGAUCCGCCACACUGGAACUGAGACACGGUCCAGACUCCUACGGGAGGCAGCAGUGGGGAAUUUUGGACAAUGGGGGCAACCCUGAUCCAGCCAUGCCGCGUGAGUGAAGAAGGCCUCGGUUGUAAGA
Molecule: ribosomal RNA, 398 nt
Filed under: uncultured bacterium
Lineage: Bacteria
Description: bacterial SSU rRNA
Rfam family: Bacterial small subunit ribosomal RNA
Source: RNAcentral